GUCUGUUUCCUCAGAACACCGGUCUUCACCAAAGGCGUGGGAAAGGGCAGAGAGCACAGGACAUAUUCUGGAAUUCAGGUCACCUUUUACAUCUGCCUGGAGUUGGGUGAGCGCCUCACGAAUGACUCGGCAGGACUGACUGCCACUGCUAACCAGGCGGAUGCAAGCAAUGAGGAGGACCUGCCCAGGCCGGGUGGGUGUCUGCUCCCUCCCUCUGGUCCCUGGCACAUCUCUGGACCCCCUGCCCUGCUGUCGGAGAGAGAUGACGGGCAACGGCGUAUUCUCAGAGACAGGGCCUGCCUGCAAAUCCUUUAAAGUCAAUGGGAUGAAAUGUAUACCCAUUGUUAGAAAAAAAUAGGACUUAGCAAGUUGAGUGCAAAUAACUGAUGCAAGACUGGGAUGGAGAUGGGAGGGGUUUGGGGCAAAAGCAGAAGUCUUUCUGGGUCCGCACCAGCUGUGAAAUACCUGGCUUGUUGUUCUGUGCCUGUCUCCAGCACCCAGGCAGGGCUACCUGACCACUCUGCUCUCUCAGCCCCGCCCUGGCUCUGGAGCGAGCCUGUGGAAAGGGGGACACUUAGCCAAGGCCCCAGCCACAUAGCAGCAGCAGCUGCGCCCUCUGUCAGCUCCUUGCACCUCCUCACUGGGCCUCCUGCAAGGCACCUGCUCCACUCCACCACUAUCACCUGGGUCCUCCUGGCCUUGGCCUGGCUUGCUUACCUUGUUAUCAAGUCCUGAAUGGGGGAAGCAAUAUUCCUUCUCCACUACAAAUCACCACAGUAUUCACAAAGAAUUCCAGAGAAAUAAGAACAGAGACAUCAGACCACACUGAGCACUCAAUAAAGAGAAAAUUCUUCAAAGGUAGCUGAUUGAUGAGAGUUUCCACAUGCAGAUGGGACAGGCACUGAUUUGUGCACAAGAAGAUCAACUUGAUUGAAUCCAAAAUAAAGGAAUGUGUGUGUGCUGCAUGCACGCACACACAUAUCCCCAUGGCAAACUCUUGCUAUCCCAGGAGCGCAGACCGCAUGUGAGGAUCCUGGCUCCUUAUCUCCCCUCCCCGUAUCUCCCUUCCCUGAUUACCUUUGCGAUCUGCACACACCAGUUGAGCAGGUACUGGGAGCCAAUAUUGUCUUUGUGUUCCCGGACAUAGUCCAGGAGGCAGCCGAAGGGCAUGAGCUGCGUGAUGAGCUGCACGGUGGAGGUGAGGCAGAUGCCCAGCAGGCGGCACACGUGGGGGUUGUCCACGCUGGCCAUCACGUAGGCUUCCUGGAGGGAGGGAGAGGCACGUCAGUGUGGCUUCGCAUGGUGGCCAGAAGGAGGGGCACAUGGACCCCUUCCAGGUGAAGACGCAUGAAUGCGAUCUUGAGUUUCAAAAUACGUACUCAUGGAGGAAAAGCUGUGCCUGCAAAAGACCUAGCACAGGGACGUUUACGCAGGGCUGUGAAGUGACAGAUGCAGUGGGAGAGGGCCCCUCCUGGGUGCAUCUGGGGAUUCCCCAUGACAGAGAGGCCCAGGCAACAGUGGCCAUGAGGAGCACAUUGGAUAAAGGAGGAGUCGGAGUCACCUGAUCUCUGAGUUUGGGAACUGAUAGUAUCUUUGUUAUGAAGACCUCCGCCUCAAGGUUGAGGAUGCUGUGUUUUAAAAUAUCAUGAGGGCCUGUAGGAAUCUGUGUGGGGUCCGGAACACCCUGGGUAAUGACUGACCCUGCACAUCAGGAACGCUGGCUGUGGGUGCUGCAGAGGACAAGCGAUGGAGAAGGCAUCCGGGGAGCACCGAGCCAGCAGGGAGAAAGGCCUCCCUUCCCCACAGGCCAGGCUUGGCCCUGACUGUGCUCUGGGAAAUGGGUGGGCAUUUGGGCUGGGGACCCUGCCCACAGCACCUCUGCAAAGAGUAGCUGGAUAAGCUCUUUCAAUAGACCAGUCCCAGGUUUUGAAAUGGACAGAGCAUUCAAUCUACAGUGACUAAAGGCUGCCUGGCUGCCCGGGACCCAUUUCUAAAGAGAAGUGGUCUCUCUGUGCUGUGCCCCCAGGCUCCCUAUGGGAAAUCCAUGCUGCACUGAGUCAGGCAUCUGCUGCCCUGCUAAUUCCGGCUGGCUGCCAAGGCAGGGGCCUUCCUUUGACAGAGCCAUAAAUACAGACUUUAUUUUAACCCUUCUGCUAUUCUUGGGCUGAGGAAGCUAAAUUUAUUUGCAAUCAGGCACACAAUGGGGCCCUCUUUUCUGUCUGACUGAGAAUGAGGGAAUCCCCAAUUUCCACCCAUAAAUUCUCUUUCUCUUUAAAAUACAAAUGGUGGUGACCUUUUAUUCAGAUAUGGAAAAGAACACACAGACUGUAGCAGAAAGCAUCCACAGCUGCUUUUCACAUCUCAGCAAUGCCUAUGUUUUGAGUGUGGACUUGGGCAAGUUAGUUUCUCUGCAGAAGUGAACACACUGAGCCAGGCUCUGAGAUAGGGUGCUGCUCCAGGGUGCCCGGGCAGGUCAGGAGCAACAGGCUGGCGGGAGGCAGGGUGGAGAUAGGAGACAGGAGACAAAGGCAAGGUGGGGCGAGGGGACACAGACAGUGGACCCUCAGUAUCUGGGGAAUUGGUUCCAGGACCUCCCUUAAAUAUCAAAAUGUGAGGAUGCUCAAGCCCCUGAUAUAAAGUGGCACAGCAUUUGUGUGUAACCUACAGACAUCCUCCCAUCUACAGCAUCUCCUGAUUACCUAUAGUACCUAAUACAGUGCAAAUGCUAUGUGAAUAAUUGUUAUGCUGUAUUGUUUAGGGAAUAAUGACAAGAAAAAAAGUCCGUAUAUGUUCAGUACCGAUGCAAUUUUUUUCCCCAACGUUUUUCAUUGUGGUUGAUUGAAUCCAUGGAUAUGAAACUGCAGACAUGGAGGGCAAACUGUAAAUAUUUACUAAAAUACAAAUAUGCUCA
Molecule: long non-coding RNA, 2911 nt
Filed under: Homo sapiens (human)
Lineage: Eukaryota; Metazoa; Chordata; Mammalia; Primates; Hominidae
Description: HSALNT0340893
Source: RNAcentral